RNAcentral lists this unclassified non-coding RNA (366 nucleotides) under uncultured fungus. RNAcentral's name for it is "partial contains small subunit ribosomal RNA, internal transcribed spacer 1, and 5.8S ribosomal RNA". The stretch from base 1 to 142 matches the Rfam family "Eukaryotic small subunit ribosomal RNA", at positions 1759 to 1831 of the family's 1831-position model. Lineage: Eukaryota; Fungi. The record is from RNAcentral.
GCAAACUUGGUCAUUUAGAGGAAGUAAAAGUCGUAACAAGGUUUCCGUAGGUAAGUUGAAAGCUGGUUUACCUUAGAAAACCCCCUCUAUUGAAUAAUGUGUUGACUUUUUUCCUUUAGGUGAACCUGCGGAAGGAUCAUUAUCGAGUGUGAACCCCCCCUUAGAAAAGGGAGGGUUUCCUCCAGUCCUUUGCUGGGCACCCUAUUCUAGAAAGGGGUUGCUUUUCAAUAUCUUCUGCUUCGGCGGGGUAACCCGCCGGAACACCCUCAAAUUCUUAUUUAAAUGGUUCUGUCCGAGAAACCUUUUAAGAAAGCAAAAACUUUCAACAACGGAUCUCUUGGUUCUGGCAUCGAUGAAGAACGCAGC